UACGAGUGCCUCAAGCGUUAUCCGGAAUCACUGGGCGUAAAGGGUGUGUAGGCGGUCAUGUUAGUCCGUGGUCAAAUUCUUCGGCUCAACCGGGGGUCCGCCACGGAAACGGCAUGACUUGGAGGGUGCAAGGGGUGAAUGGAACUCAUGGUGUAGGGGUGAAAUCCGUUGAUAUCAUGGGGAACACCGAAAGCGAAGGCAGUUCACUAGUGCAUUCCUGACGCUGAAACACGAAAGCGUGGGUAGCGAAUGGG
Molecule: ribosomal RNA, 254 nt
Filed under: uncultured bacterium
Lineage: Bacteria
Description: partial 16S ribosomal RNA
Rfam family: Bacterial small subunit ribosomal RNA
Source: RNAcentral